AAAUGCAAACCAUACUUUUACACUGGGCUGUAUUUCUUACAGGAUCCUUAAGUCCAUUUCUGCUGCAUAACUGGACAUGUAUGCUUGGUAUUUUGUGGGGUGUUUUCUCUCUCUCUCUCUCUCUCUCUCUCUCUUUUAAUUCCAGUAAAAAAAAAUAUAAAGAGAAAAAACAUAAAUAAUUCAGAACACAUGCUUUAUAUCAACUGUUCCCCUGUUACUAUUUUAUCUCUAUAAACAGGGCAGAGGCAAACCCAUCCAAACAUGGAAGGGGAGGAACAUGCAUUGCAAAAUUGUGGAUGGGUCAUAUGAGUCAAGAAUACAUCCACAUAUUUUUUUUCUGGAAGGCUUUGCUCAGUGAUUCCUGGGAGAUGUGAUGUUUGUUGAGUCUCAAAGAACUGGAAGGAGGACAAAUCACCCAACCUGCCUUUCAGGAAACAAUAAAUGCAAGAGAAGAUGGCGUUGAGCUGGAAGAGUGCGAUGGAACUUAAGAUAUUUGGACAGACCCAGCCACAGGAGAUGAAGCUUAAUUUCCCAUGUCUCAAGACAAUUCAUCUUCACGCAGUGCAGUCCAGGCAAGCCACAAGACUGGGAACCCAUGUUUUAGAGCUUGGCUCGCUAUUCUUGGUGACCUUGUUCAGCAAUGGUGUGCUCCUCUAAUGGCUGACUUCUGUUCGUUCCUUUUCAGACCCAGAAUCCUGCUAGCAACCUUCUCAAAACACUGGAGUGCUGCAUGUUUGAAGCAGACAGAAAGAAACAUAUACCUAAGUUUAAAAGUGGGGAAGAAUCUUGGCUUCUUUAAGGCUGCAUCAAGAUGGGAUCCUGCAAACAGUUUUGUUUGCCACCUAGGAAAUGUAUUCACAAUUCAUAUUCAAUUUCCUGCCUAUACAAGAAUGGAUUCUGGAUUUCAGAAACUGAUGGUGGGGUGACACUGAACAGAAGAUUAUGUGGCACUUCAUAGAACUUUUCCUUUAUUAGCUGCUCUAUAAUCACAUUAAGUUAGACUGAAAAUUUGAACUAAUUCUUUCCCAUGAGACCCAGGCUGUAAUAAUGGUAAAAAUCUGUGAAAUAGGAUAAAUACAAUUCAAUAAUUAUAUUGAUAAAUAAAAUGAAAAUCAACUAAUUGUGUCA
Molecule: long non-coding RNA, 1128 nt
Filed under: Coturnix japonica (Japanese quail)
Lineage: Eukaryota; Metazoa; Chordata; Aves; Galliformes; Phasianidae
Description: lncRNA (ENSCJPG00005017929.1)
Source: RNAcentral